AACGAACGCUGGCGGCAUGCCGAACACAUGCGAGUCGAACGAGACCUUCGGGUCUAGUGGCGCACGGGUGCGUAACGCGUGGGAACCUGCCCUUAGGUUCGGAAUAACUCCCCGAAAGGGGUGCUAAUACCGGAUAAUGUCUUCGGACCAAAGAUUUAUCGCCUUUGGAUGGGCCCGCGUUGGAUUAGCUAGUUGGUAGGGUAAAAGCCUACCAAGGCGACGAUCCAUAGCUGGUCUGAGAGGAUGAUCAGCCACACUGGGACUGAGACACGGCCCAGACUCCUACGGGAGGCAGCAGUGGGGAAUAUUGGACAAUGGGCGAAAGCCUGAUCCAGCAAUGCCGCGUGAGUGAUGAAGGCCUUAGGGUUGUAAAGCUCUUUUACCCGGGAUGAUAAUGACAGUACCGGGAGAAUAAGCGCCGGCUAACUCCGUG
RNAcentral lists this ribosomal RNA (433 nucleotides) under uncultured bacterium. RNAcentral describes it as "partial 16S ribosomal RNA". It matches the Rfam family "Bacterial small subunit ribosomal RNA", at positions 29 to 507 of the family's 1533-position model. The record is from RNAcentral.